This 444-nucleotide ribosomal RNA is filed under the name uncultured bacterium. RNAcentral's name for it is "partial 16S ribosomal RNA". It matches the Rfam family "Bacterial small subunit ribosomal RNA", at positions 338 to 795 of the family's 1533-position model. The record is from RNAcentral.
CCUACGGGAGGCAGCAGUGGGGAAUAUUGGGCAAUGGAGGAAACUCUGACCCAGCAAUGCCGCGUGAAUGAAGAAUGUCUUCUGAUUGUUAAGUUCUUUAGUCAGGGAAGAAUAAAAUGAUGGUACCUGAAGAAUACGCGUCGGCUAACUACGUGCCAGCAGCCGCGGUAAUACGUAGGGAGCAAGCGUUGUUCGGAAUCACUGGGCGUAAGGGGUGCGUAGGCGGUUAUACAAGUUAGAAGUGAAAUGCCCAGGGCUUAACGCGGGGGCUGCUUCUAGAACUGUAAGACUUGAGUGCAGUAGAGGUUGGUGGAAUUCGUGGUGUAGCGGUGGAAUGCGUAGAUAUUAGGAGGAACACCGAAGGCGAAGGCGGCUAGCUGGAGUGCAACUGACGCUGAAGCACGAAAGUGUGGGGAGCGAACAGGAUUAGAUACCCUUGUAGUC